GACCCCAUAGGUUCUAUUCUGACUGGUAGUGAGAUAUAUUGUGAUCUCUAUCACUAUAUCAUUGAAAACUCCUUUCAAUGGGUUGGAACGAUUCCAACUCAACUCGUUAGGGUUUAUCGAUCAUCAAGAUAAUCCCUAUGAGUCCCACCAUCCACCAGUGACACCUAGCAGCAUGUAGUGGCUAUCCAGCAGAAUGGAAUGAUGAACCUCUAGGUGCAGUUAACAUGUGAUACAGUCCUACUAUCGUGGAUCCCCACAGGACGGAGGUCAUGGACAACUCGUCAAACCCCAUCGUCUGUCAUAUGUCAAGAUUUAUUUGACUCGAGUUCGCUAAUGGAAAACUCUUUUUCCACUUUAUAUAACUGCCCUGGCCAAGGUCUUAGAACUCAGUCUAACAAAUCACAUAGGAUCACUCCUCUUCUAUCAAGGUCGAUAGAUUCCUUAUAGGUGCAUACCCUACUCCUACAGUGAACUUACUGCAGCCAAUCUACACUGCAUGGACCCAUAUGGCUAGAGACCAUUUAUGUGUGUAGUCAAACUACNNNNNNNNNNNNCUCUUAAUCCAAACUAUGACAUAAGUUUCAUAUGGCCAACAUGAGUAUUGCCUUUUCAGUUUCUUCAAAGCUCUCCUUCAAGUUGAAGGGUAUGACUCGUCUCAACUGAGUCUCCUCUCCAUGCCCCUAGUUGUAUGAUCUCCGGUAAGAUCUUAGCACCUCAAAAGGAUGAUCUUCCAUGUUUUUGAGGGCAUAAAGGAGUCAAAAAAGAAAUCAAUCAUACAACAGGACUGAGAACAAGAUAAGAUAAUUUAAUAACUCCACUGAAUUUAAAAACAAUUCCAGUGCCAUCUUCUCCCAUAUAAAUGUCGCAUUUUUUUUUUUUUGAAGUGAUAAAUAUCGCUACUCUCAUGCUGAUCUAUGCAAUUUCAUUUUUCGAACACAGAUCCAUAAAAAGCAUUGCAAUUUUUAAUCAAUAGUCCAAAUUAUGCGCAUCUGAAGUGCUUCCUAACAAUAAAAUUAAGAAGAUCCAAGUUCUACCCACUUGAGCUCGAUCUCUUCUUCUUCUUCUUCUUCUUCUUUAAGAGAAUGCUCCAAUCUCUUCAGACCAAGAUCAUAUCCAACAACACCUCGAAUAGAUCUAAAUUGUCCAAGAUCCAAACAAGCCAGAAUUGUCACAAAUAUAUCUUUGCUAACCAAUUAAUAUUUAUCAUUUCUGAGCUGACAAUCAACAAUACACUCACAAAGCAAGCACCUCUACAGCUUAAACAAACCUUAAAAAAGUUCAUGUGACACUGCCCACAUCUUCUUAACUCCUUUUUAUCAAGCUCCUAAACCAGAAAACAAGGAAAGGCGUACAUACUAAACCCCCUUUACAACCUUAAAUCCCUUACAAAAUCUAUUUUCAUCAACAAUAGUACAAUUAAGAAAUAAAGAAAGGCAUCCACAUCCCAACUUCAAGCCAAGACCAACAACUUGACCGAGCGAGACUUGUUCACCGCCGGGGACCGGAGAUGGAGGAGCAGUCACACGUGGUGUCGCUCUCGACCUCUCGCUUGUGGAAACUCCGGUGGCAGUUGCAGGCGGCGCAGCGGAGGGCAGCGCUCGUCCCUUCCUCCCCCGACGCCAUGAACUCGCGGCAGCCGUCCACCGCAUACCCACCGAUGCUGGCAGCGUGGUUCUUCCUGCACUCUCUGUACCUCACCACCUUCUCUUUCUUCACCGAAGAGCCAUUGGAGGAGGCCUUCUUGGGAUCCUGUAGGGGCCCCAUGCUGCUCUCUCUUCAGCUGCCGCUGCUGCUGCUGGCGGCUUUUUGCUGCUCACCACCAGUGAGGUGGAUGGAAGCUAGAGAAAGGAGUUGGUUGCGAAGGAGAGGAAGAGGUGGGGGAGAGGAUGGAAGGAGCUCGAUAUCAACACGUCUUGUGGUGAAUUUAUAUGGAAAUGGUGAGGCCAAGAUGUGGGUUGGCGUGGUGGGUUUGCUUUUUGUUGAAUAAUGCAAACAGUCUCCUUUUCCUCUCUUUUAACUUCUCGGGGUGGUUUGGAUAACUCGGAUUCGUACCUUCAUUUCUCGCGGUAUGUUAAAAAUCACUGGCACCUAACAUGCUCUGCGUAACGUUGCUUUCAUGUUUGUUUAUGUUCAGUCAAUGACAUAGAACAUGUAGAUGCAGUUUGGAUUGUGCGGUGCGAAGUAUUAGUUAAUCAAGAUAAUAAGACCUCUAGUUUGUUGUAUAGAUUUAUUUUCCAAUAAAACUUCAAAAUCUUGGUUAGAAUUAAUUGAUGAAAAUUUUUGUUUUUACUGCUACCCUCCCCAUUCUUGUCUCAGUCCUUACAAUGUCUAGAUUAUCGGAAGAUGAAUUGCGACAGUGCAUGUAUUUCAUACACGUAGAUAAGCAUGCAACUCACAAAUUUCUUUUGAUUACAAGGAAGCUUAUAUACAUAGCAGAAUAUUAAAGCAGAGCAUAUUAAUUAGGAUUUUUCUAUGGCAUUCUUUAUAUUAUUUUAUAAAAAAUGAUGGGAAACAUCUUGGUCGUCCAAUAAGUGAGGGUAUUUAAUAAAUUUUGCUAUCAACAGGCAAAGUAGCAGGUUAAAUACAAGUUACCAACUUCCCUUUUUUUUUUAUUUUUUCUGAAAAGAAAUAUUAUUUUAAUAAAUUAUUUUCUGACUCGGCUGAACCAAGUCAGAUCUAAAUCUGGCUCAUCCUAGUUUUUCUUUUUUUUAAUAUUUUCAAAUAAAAUAUUUUAAUAAUUAUUUUUUAUUUUUUAUUUUUUUUACUGAAAUGAAUACAUUCAAAAAAAAUAAAAAAUAACAAAUUUCAAAAAGCAUCGUCGUCCUCUCUUGCCUGAUCUCCAUCCACCUCCACACUGUGAUAUUCUUCUCUUGUCCGAUCUCGAUCGGCCGCCCUCUUCAUCCGUCUUCAUGCCGUCGUCUUCUUCUCCCUCCAUUCGUCCGCCUGUCCUUGGGAAGAUUCUGGCAGCCGACAGUGGAAUCAAAGGAGUUCUCGUGGGACGACAAGCCUUCUCUUCUCCAGUCGACGUCGCAGUAGAUAGAGAGUGGACUGGAGGAGGGUAGGGGGAAAGCCUCGGGUUGAGCGCCAAUUAGAAGAGGCCACGGAUGCUGCCAGCGAGCACCAAUCAGGAGAGGCCACGCACUCCUGCUCGUCAGUCGCCGGAGGCCUUCAUGAUGAUUGAGGUGUCGGAGUAUUGAGAUUUGAGAGGGGAGAACCAGCUUCCAAAAAGCCCAUAAAUUUUAAAUUAUUUACCGCACCAGCGAUCCUUCUUCUUACUCCAAAUCACCCAUGCAAUUCGAGUUAUUUACAGCACUAGGCCACAUACAUCACUGACUAAAAAGCCAACGAUCAAAAAGACUAAAAAGGCCUUUGGAGUACUAUAGUAACUCCCUAUUAUUUAUCAUGGACAGAUGAUUAUCUCAAACAAUAUAUCUGCACCACAUUUUGAUGAUUACAGUAAUAGACAUGGUCAGUUUCUCAUAAUGACAUAGGCACAUACUUGCAAGCUUAUUUAUGUUCUGAUGUUAGAAAAAAAAAGAGAGCUUAUUAUCUUGAAGUUGUUUCAUAGCAUUUUGCUGGAGAAUGACGAAAAGAUAGAAUCUUGAUACUGCAGCUGGACAUAUAGGAAGUAUCGAAAUGCUCCAAAAAAAUAUAUCAUCUCCAUAAUGGUGAGUUGCUAGCGUUUAUGCCUCUUUUUUAGAGCCUUACCAAUUUAUUUGAGCAUCGAGUUGGGGGAGCUAGGGGGAAGCAAAAUAUGAUGUUAAUAUUACUAGGCUAAAGAUACAUAAAAUAAACAAGUAAACAAGCAGGAUACAAAAAUGGAAAGGAGCAAGUAAGGAAGAAAUUAAAGAAAGAACAGUAAAUUUACAGGCUUAGUGAGUUAGCAUGCCUAGUUAGCAAAGUUAAAAGGAGACAAAAAGAGUAAAAAGUAAACAAGUUUGUUGAGUUAAUAGGAUAGUAAUGUUCACAAGCAAGCAAAAUAAGAAAAAGUAAAUGAUAAAAAAAAAGAAAGAUAAGAAAAGAGAAGAAGGGGGGGGGGGGGGGGGGAAGAGAGAGAGANNNNNNNNNNNNNNNNNNNNGGGGGGGGAGGAGAGAGAAGGCAGGGAUAAGAUAUAAAAGCCUUUCCAGAGAAGAUCUCCCAUAAGGUUUGCAAGAAGUCCAAGCCUUAAGGCUAGAGGUCUCCCUCCUAAUCUCUAACUAAAUAGACCUUGUCUUCUGAUUGAUUAGUAUUUUCUUCUUGUUGGGUGAGCUGGGAUCUUUACGUUUAUAUGAGGGAGUGGAGAAAUCGGGUGUAUUAAAGCUCCAAGAUUUGGAAUGGUUUAAAGCUAGGAUUUUUAGAGAAAAGAUGCUUAUGGACUGAUGAAUGUGAGAAGGACCAGGAGAUACGUACAUAGCUACAAUCUUGAGCUGACAUCCAAUAUAUUUAUUUUACAAUAUACAUAGUAGGGAGUUAUCAACAAUCAAGCUCAAUAAAUCAAAUUUAGAAACCAAGUUUACUAUUCAGUGGAUCCAUUUUCAGCUUUUAUGCAUGAGAAUUCAUGCAGGUAGGGAUGGCAAACAUGGGUCGGAUAGCUCAUUGCCUAUAUUGGCUCUGCACUUGCUUCUUCGAAGCAGGUUUGGAAGGAAAAAUUAAUUAGACAGAUCAAAUUAGCCAAAGCUACAAAAAUUAAUUUUUUGUAUACAAAUCAUAUUUUAAUCUCAAGGAAAAGAUUUGUGAAAAAUAAGAUAUACCUAGAACAGAUUUAGGAUGGAUUUCAUCAUUAUCUGUGCCCGUUCUGGAUCUAUUACAGGUCGAGUCAACUCUGCUUUAUUAGAAUCGGAUCGAAUUGGAUAUCCAUUUGGAUGAGUAAAGUGUCACCCCUAUCUGUCUGUCGGCUUUAAAUCCUUAUUUCAAGAUUUAUAUAAUCACAAGCCAUCAAUCUCGUUAGUAGGCAAAUAAAAAACGGCAGUAAACCACGCGUCGGGGCAUCGUACGACUAGAGCCGUUGGAAAGUCAUGUCUCAUGUGGGGUGCAUGUGAACGUAUUUAUUUAAUCAUUGCAACUGGCAUGAAUAACCAAUCAUUGGUCAAGCUAUAUUACCUUCUAACGCCAAGCGAUGCCAUUUCUCUAAUUGCUUUAAUUUUCUCGCAUAAAAUGAUCUUGAUGUUAAUAUUUAUUGAUGGAUGAAGUCUGAAUGCAACAUCUAACGGCCUCACUCUACAAUAGAAAACUAAAGCCCAUCCUGAUUGGGUUUUGAUCGGUUGCCAAAUUUAAUUAUGUACCAAACAUCUUUUUUCUCUGUGCCCUUAUUUUGUUAUGUGGAAAGUAAUUUGAAUAGCACCUACAAUGAUUUACCGAAAAAAUAAAUUAAGUUUGCUCUGUGCAAUUAUUUUAAACCACACCUUUUAAACUUUUUUUUUUUACCCUUACACAAGCACGAGGGUUUAGUGAAUUUUCUUUAAAAUGCUCUCUUAUUUUCCAAAAACACUUUCUUUAAAAUGCUCCCUUCUAAUAAUAGUUCAUCGCCCGCAUGAAGAACCCUCAAAAUAAUCUAACCAAGUUCUUGAUAUCUAAUUAUAAAUAAAAAGAGAAUAUCUUAAAAUAACUCUGAUUUUAAAGAAAAUACUUUUAUAUAUGUAUCCAAAACCGUAAUGCUAUUGUGAGAUACAUCACCCCUAUAACAUGCAAUAUGAACAUGUUUUUGAGAGAUGCCUGACCAGCAACAACACAUUUUGACACGAUAAUCCGUUCUCUAGAGGGAGAUAAAUCCAAACUCCUUCGUCCAAAUUUUGGGACACUUUCAUCACGAUUAGCUUCUACUCAAGAAAGAAAAGCUCGCCCAUGGUCUAGGUCCUAUUCGAUUCUAUCGGAUUCUUUUCGACCAUCCUCAAUAAGAGGCUCACGUAACUAAUGAAAAUGGUACUUGUUGCUGGAAAUUGGACCUGGGGGUGACCACUGGCCGAGAAGGAGGAGCUUUGAUGCUCAUGGUGCGUCGGCGGGCUACGUCCUCCGGAGAACCUGCAAAAAGCCGGUGGCUAGGACUUCCGGCGCCGGCCCUCUGAUGCUUAAGUCAGAGGGAGGCUUUAGUGGAGAAAGAGAGAUGAGUUGUAUAUCGGAGUCUAAAAAUCAGAAUCCAGAAAAAGAAUCCCCCUUUAAAGAGGAAGAAGUUCCUUUUUAUAAGAGGGAUACAGGGUUACAUGUGAUGUGACCGGACGAAUUAAAUGAGUUACCGUCAUGAUUGAGUAUGGUCAUCUGAAUUAAUGCGUUGCCAUAGAGGACAGAACUAGAGCCAAUGAGUUGUUGUGGGUGACCGGACGUAGUUGAGUGAGUCGAUGAGUUGCCGUAGAUGGCAUAAGAUUUUGAAUAAGCCGAAGAUCCGUGGAGACCAUGCGCAUUAAUUGUUGACAGUCGUAGCAGGGGUAUGGUCCCUGGUUGAUAUGUCGUGGCGUGGCCGACAAGCAAAGCAUGGUACGGUGAGACCGCUACAGGGCGUGGCCGCAGCAUGUAGACGACGAGCUCGGUCUUCUGAGCUCGAUCUUCUGGGCUUGGCCUGCAUGAGCUCGGCCUGCAUUAGCUCGGCCUGCAUGAGCUCGGUCUUCUGAGCUCGGCCUGCAUGGGCUCGGCCUGCGUGAGCUCGGUCUUUUGAGCUCGGCCUGCAUGAGCUCGACCUUCAUGAGCUUGGCCUGCAUGAGCUCGGUCUGCAUGAGCUCGGCCUUCAUGAGCCCGGCCUGCAUGAGCUCGACCUGCACGAGCUUGGCAUGCAUGAGCUCGGCCGGCAUGAGCUCAGUUUUGCUUUGUGGGGUGGUCCAUUUUUUUCCCAACAUUACCCCCCCGACUUUCGAGUUUGAGCUGCUUUUUGGCUUGAGCGAAGGAAGUAGUCUAGUCGUCGAUUGUCCUAUAAUAUAGCCAAAUGUCUAUGGAGAUGUAUGUGCUAAGUAGGGUAUACCUCAGUUGGAGCUAAGUGUCUCAGGUCGAGCUGUCCAAGCCGAGCUAAGCGGCUCUGCUCCGAGGUCGACUUCAGCGGCCUUUUUUGGCUUGUGGUCGACUCAGCAGGGUAUCCCGAGAAGGAGGAGCUCCAAUGCUUAUGGUGUGUCGGCUGGCUACGUCCUCCGGAGGACCUGCAAAAAGCCGGUGGCCGGGGCUUCCAGCGCCGGCCCUUCGAUGCUUAAGUCAGAGGGUGGCUUUACUGGAGAAAGAGAGAUGAGUUGUUUCUCGGAGUUUAAAAAUUAGAAUCCAGAAGAAGAAUCCCUUUUAAAGAGGAAGAAGUUCCCCUUUUAUAGGAGGGAUACAGGGUUACCUGUGAUGUGAGCGGACGAAUUAAAUAAGUUACCGUCAUGAUUGAGUGUGGUCAUCUGAAUUAAUGCGUUGUCGUGGAGGACGGGAUUGGAGCCAAUGAGUUGUUGUGGGUAACCGGACGUAGUUAAGUGAGUCGAUGAGUUGCCGUGGAUGGCCUGAGAUUUUGAAUAAGCCGGAGAUCCAUGGAGACCAUAUGCAUUAAUUGUUAACAGUCGUAGCAGGGUAUGAUCCCUGAUUGAUGUGUCAUGGCGUGGCCGGCAAGCAAAGCAUAGUACGGUGUGACUGCUGCAGGGCGUGACGGCAGCAUGUGGACGACGAGCUCGGUCUUCUGAGCUCGGCCUUCUGGGCUCGGCCUGCAUAAGCUCGGCUCGGCCUACAUGAGCUCGGCUCGACCUACAUAAGCUCGGUCUUUUGAGCUCGGCCUGCAUUAGUUUGGUUUUCUGAGCUCGGUUUGCAUGAGCUCGGCCUUCAUGAACUAAGUCUUGCUUUGUAAGGUGGUCCAUUUUUUUCCCAACAGUACCAUACCAUAGAUGUGAUUCUGAUACUAUUUGUUAUGGGUUCACAGUCCGAAAUUUAAAUAAUCAGAAGAGAAACCAGUUCAUGCAGCAUUUUUUCAUCAGUCAGCGGGAGACUACGCGAUCAAACACCUGGACGAAAGGGAAAACCAAUUAAGAUGCUAGCGGGAUUACCGUAAGUCCAUGUUGCCGUCUCUUUCUGCAUGUCUUGUCGCAUUCCCCUCACCGCAAAGGUGCAUGGUAACGACUCUCCUUGUCCUUAUUCAUCCAUCAAGCUAAGUUGCACGUAAGCUUCGAUACAUGUCGAUCAUCUCGUGCAACUUUAUUCAGACACGCCACCCUUUGGACUUCCCAUGCCACCUAACUAAUGGACCUUCCACGUAUAUUUAAGUGAAUCCAACAAGAUUUUUUGAGAAAGAAUCCAAGAAGAUUAGGGAAGCAAAAUCAUGUUUGAUAUGAUUCACAGGAGUAAUGGACUGUACUCCUGUUUUGGUGCAUGUAUAUGAACUGAUUGAUGGGUGUAACUUGUAGGAUUUUGAUCAUGAAAUAUAUUGGAACUGAUUGAUUGUUGAGUUGCUAAGUCUAACAUUGGUGAAUCCGACGGAAUUGUUUUUUAUUUUUUUUUUUGUUGCGCGCACACACCCUAAUGCAUUCUUUGACUCAUGCAUGUUCCCAACAAAGUUACUGGUAAAGUCCUUUGAAAGCUUCAUCAGAGAUCUACAGUUACUUGUGGCCUUCAUCAUGAGAUUAUGAAAUAGGAUAUAAGCUAUGGUAUUUCAAUGUGCUACGCUAGCUCUUGCUAGUAACUAAUACUAUUGUACUAAUUAUUGCUGAUUGUAAGAAGAGGAACCAAGAGAAUCAUAGAAAUGUGUUUGGCUAAAUAAAUUUGUCCGAGGAUUGCCUAUCAUAUUUAUCAUAAAGAUAAGGAUUAAACUAGGACAUAUCACAUGUUUUUAAUUUCUAACAUUGGUUCUAUGUCGAAAAUGGCCAUGCAUGUGUUAUUGUGUUUGGCAAAAAUAUGGUUCAAAACAUCCACACCAGUCUACAUGUUCUUCCUCUUACUGAUGAAAAUUUGAGAGCAUGACCGAACAUGAUGGGAAAGAAGAACUGUGAUUAGCUGCUCAGUGUCAGCUCACAACACAGGCUUUUAGAGCCGGAUGAGGAUUGUAGGUUUUUGCUCUUCAAUGUCUGCCAUCCCUACCCUAGACUUCCAAUAAUAGAUGACCAAAACCAGAAAGUUUCUCCACUUUGAUAUGGAUCAAGUUGGAUAUAAGAUAAAAUAGAAAAUCUAUCAACCUGAACAAAUUGGUCAAAAAUUCAGAACUACAUCUAAUCAUUUUAUUAAAUAGAUAAUCUAAUCCGACCUACAAUGGGUUGAAUCAGGUUAAAAUGGGUUAAACAGUUAAAAAAUAUCGCCACACCUAACAUGAUGCCCUAGUAAUUAAUCAUGCUUUAAGAAACUUGAAAACCCAUUAAUCCAUGAUAAGCAGUCAAAACACCUGCAGCCAUCUAGCUGCCAUUCAAUGGAUGCUGAGACUUGCGUAAACAAGCUGUGGUUCCACAUGCCAACCAUGCAAAAAUAAACCUUUCCAAACGGCAUUUGAUUGUUAUAUAAAACAGGAUAUACAUGAGGGAGUUUCAGUUUAUACCGCCAAGAAAGCUUUAAUUACUAAGAAUCGUUUUAUUUAAACAAUGGUCAACAAACUCGCUUGAACCGGCAAAUUUGAUUUCAUGAAAAACUACUUCUUCCUUAAAACAAUUUGCUAUUUAAUCACCUCUUAUUUAUCCCUUUAUUCCAACCAAAAAGAAUAUUUGUGUUUUAAAGAUCAGAGGAAAUGAAAAUUAUCUAUUCCAUAUUCCAUGGUUUUGUAUUUUAUCCCAUCUUGUAUAAAAUAAUACUCAUAUAUCACAUCUAAUUAAUAUCUUGAAAUCCUUGUUCUUCUCUGAGAUAUAGUGAAGCAAAACCAAGACACAUCCAAGAAGCCAAACAUUCCAAAACACACAAUUAAUAACAAGCCCGUUAAUGACAAAUGGAUGAUCGUAUUGUGACAACAGAAAAGUCACCAGCCGUACAAAUAAUGAACCCAUCCAUGCCUAGACCUCUCACCUCAAAGAGAACAAAAGAGGGAGAAGAGUAAUAAUAAAUAACUGGCUAAAAGAUAUGAAUAAAAAUUAGGGGCAUUUGGGCCCGCCAGGCUUGAUCUUCCAGCUGUUGUAGCAUGGCUUGUGGUGGUGCUGCGUCCGAAAAUAUUACACCUCCUGCUACACUCACUCGGAGACUCUGCAUCCAUGAAAAAAUAUUACAAAUCCCUCUAUUAAUUAAUUGGUCACACUAUCUAAGAGAAGAAAGUAAAAGAAAUUAUAACAACACAGUGAAAAACUU
RNAcentral lists this long non-coding RNA (10174 nucleotides) under Phoenix dactylifera (date palm). RNAcentral describes it as "long non-coding RNA (PDAC_LNC002177)". The record is from RNAcentral. Lineage: Eukaryota; Viridiplantae; Streptophyta; Magnoliopsida; Arecales; Arecaceae.